GCCAGGUGCAGUGGCGCAUGCCUGUAGUCCCGGUUACUCGGGAGGAUGAGGUGGGAGAAUCAGUCAAGCCCAGGAGUUCUGGGCUGUAGUGUGCUAUGCCAGUCGGGUGUCUGUGCUAAGUUCGGCGUUGAUAUGGUGACCUCCAAGAGCAGGGGACCACCAGGUUGGAUAUGGAGCAGGUCAAAACUCCUGUGCUGAUCAGUAGUGGGAUUGCGCCUGUGAAUAGCCACUGUACUCCAGCCUGGACAAAAUAGCGAAACCCCAUCUCUU
Callithrix jacchus (white-tufted-ear marmoset) is the source of this 270-nucleotide unclassified non-coding RNA. It matches the Rfam family "Metazoan signal recognition particle RNA". From Rfam's summary of the family: The signal recognition particle (SRP) is a universally conserved ribonucleoprotein. It is involved in the co-translational targeting of proteins to membranes. NCBI's taxonomy places the organism in Eukaryota, Metazoa, Chordata, Mammalia, Primates, Cebidae. The record is from Ensembl.